Molecule: long non-coding RNA, 356 nt
Organism: Lathyrus oleraceus (garden pea)
Lineage: Eukaryota; Viridiplantae; Streptophyta; Magnoliopsida; Fabales; Fabaceae
Exons: 2
Source: RefSeq, a predicted model, not a curated record
CUUACGAUCAUUAUCGCAUAUAUCAAACACACACAUAACAUAUUAAGUGAAGUGAGUCCUAUUAAGUUUACACAUUCAUCACUAAUUAAGUUAUGGAGAAGAAAUCACUAGCUGCCUUGUCCUUCCUCUUCCUUUUUCUCUUUGUUGCACAAGAAAUUGUGGUGACAGAGGCAAACACCUGUGAGCAUUUGGCAGAUACAUACAGGGGAGUAUGCUUCACGGAUGCUAGCUGUGAUGAUCACUGCAAGAACAAAGCGCACUUAAUCAGUGGCACUUGCCAUAACUUUAAAUGUUUCUGCACUCAAAACUGUUAAACUUGGAUGGAUGGAUUGAUUCUCCAACACAAAGACAAAGAC